GAUGAACGCUGGCGGCGUGCCUAAUACAUGCAAGUCGAGCGAACAGACGAGGAGCUUGCUCCUCUGACGUUAGCUGCGGACGGGUGAGUAACAUGUGGAUAACCUACCUAUAAGACUGGGAUAACUUCGGGAAACCGGAGCUAAUACUGGAUAAUAUAUUGAACCGCAUGGUUCAAUAGUGAAAGACGGUUUUGCUGUCACUUAUAGAUGGAUCCGCGCCGCAUUAGCUAGUUGGUAAGGUAACGGCUUACCAAGGCAACGAUGCGUAGCCGACCUGAGAGGGUGAUCGGCCACACUGGAACUGAGACACGGUCCAGACUUCUACGGGAGGCAGCAGUAGGGAAUCUUCCGCAAUGGGCGAAAGCCUGACGGAGCAACGCCGCGUGAGUGAUGAAGGUCUUCGGAUCGUAAAACUCUGUUAUUAGGGAAGAACAAAUGUGUAAGUAACUAUGCACGUCUUGAUGGUACCUAAUCAGAAAGCCACGGCUAACUACGUG
RNAcentral lists this ribosomal RNA (497 nucleotides) under uncultured bacterium. Its description in RNAcentral is "partial 16S ribosomal RNA". It matches the Rfam family "Bacterial small subunit ribosomal RNA", at positions 28 to 507 of the family's 1533-position model. The record is from RNAcentral.